RNAcentral lists this long non-coding RNA (586 nucleotides) under Dunaliella salina. Its description in RNAcentral is "long non-coding RNA (DSAL_LNC000323)". Lineage: Eukaryota; Viridiplantae; Chlorophyta; Chlorophyceae; Chlamydomonadales; Dunaliellaceae. The record is from RNAcentral.
UUCAAGAUACCCCCAACACGCCCCAAGAACAGGAGGGGUACCCGGCUCCCCAUCGACAGCAGCAAAGAGGCUUAGAGGGGCCGGGGCGGGGCCAAGGGUGGGGCCAAGGUUCCCUCCAGUGGCACACCGCCCAAGGCCACCUUAGCCUCUCCUCCAAGAACUUCACAGUUCGGCGAGUGACGGCCCUACAGCUCUCCUCGGAGCGGACAGCUAGGCACGCAGCCUGGCACCGGUGUGCCUGCUCCGCAGUUGCUCUUGCCUCGGCCUCCCUGCCUGCGCCGGACCCUUCUCCCCAAGCCAACCAUCUUUCCAGUGACCUUCCCUACAGGAUCAAUGAGGUGUGGAGGCUCCGGUGGGGGAAUAUAUGGAAGGAGAUUUGGUGGCGCCUACUCCUGCAUGGCGUCUCAGGGGCAGGGGGCCAUGGGGUCCCCUGGGCCAGAGGCUCGGCGUGUGUUUGUGGGUGGCAGGCUGCGGAUUCAGCCGCUUGUGAUGUGCGAGCGCUUCAACAAAGGGAGCAUGUCUUUUGGACCUGCCCUCGGGCCCAAGCAGCAGUGUAUGUCCUAGCUAAGAACUUGCCUCCUGAAAC